This 123-nucleotide ribosomal RNA is filed under the name Glomus sp. RNAcentral's name for it is "partial small subunit ribosomal RNA". It matches the Rfam family "Eukaryotic small subunit ribosomal RNA", at positions 1657 to 1779 of the family's 1831-position model. The record is from RNAcentral. Lineage: Eukaryota; Fungi; Glomeromycota; Glomeromycetes; Glomerales; Glomeraceae.
CCUUUGUACACACCGCCCGUCGCUACUACCGAUUGAAUGGCUUAGUGAGGCCUUCGGAUUGGGUUCGGAGACUGGCAACAGACUCUGUUUCUGAGAAGUUGGUCAAACUUGGUCAUUUAGAGG